CUUUUGCCCAGGCUGGAGUGCAGAGGCACGAUCCUGGCCCACUGCAAUCCCCACCUCCCGGGUUCAAGCGAUUCUCCUGCCUCAGGCUUCAGAGUAGCUGGGAUUACAGUGGAUUUAUCUUCUGUGGCAGAUAAGUGAAGUAAUUCACUGCUAUAAAAUGGAAGACAUUGACAUUGUGGUAGUGGCAGAAGUCACAUUACGGUUAAGUGAAAUAUUGGAAUCUUUAGGAAGCCCAGGAAGAAAAUUUAAACAAUCUCUAGAUGUACCUUUAAGAGAAGGGACUAACAAAUUCCCUGGAGCUCCAAAAGGGAUCACAGAAAUUCUUCCAAUAUUACAGAAAAAUCCUGUGGAACAGUUACUUUUUGCUUAUAAACUUCUUGACAGAGCAAUCAGUGGAAUAAAUUUGAAUUGCAUGUUAACCUCUUUGCCAAAUGGAUCAUCAGUAAUUGACCACUGCUAUGCCAAGCGUACCCACCAUGUAGAUGGAGAUACUUACAAACCACUUGCCUCAAAUAGUUUCAUGAUGGAUUUGCAUCUUGAACUAAUUCAAGCUCAGCAUCGAAUAGCUGUUGUGCUUCUGGACAAAUUGCAAGGAAGCAUAUUCCUUAAUUCAGAGGAUUGAAGCUGAACAAAAUGCCCUAUAUUCCUAUCAGAAAUAUUUGGAAAGUUCAAAAAGAAAGAAAAGCAGAGUCCCCCCUCCACCUAUCCUGCUGUCUCGAACUCAUUGUUCUGUGACACUCAAACCUGCUCCAUUUACUUCAGAGGUUAAGGUCUCCUGGUACUGCAUUUUGGGUUGCAAAGCAGAAGGAAGUUAUGGAAAAGUACGGCUAAACAAUAAUCAUCUCCCAAAUUCAGGAGAAGCGAUACCAGCUGACGGUAAAAGUGUUUUUGAAGUGAAAGGUUUAGAAACCAAUGAAAAGUAUGUAUUUGCAGUUGCUGCCUAUUCUAACAACGGAAAGCUUGUCGGUGGUGCUAUUGGGGAGACAACUAAACCAAUUAUGGUUUAUCCCCCUCUUUCUACUAUUACUGCUCGGAUGUUCCUGACCCAGGUUGCCUAUCAAGUUGGUAACUAUGAAUUGGCUAAGAAAGUUUUCUCACCAGUUUGGGAUUAUUUUGUUGCUUCGCCACUUCAGGAUGAACAAUCUGUUAUUUGUUUAAGCAAUAUAAUUACUAUUACACAAAGAAGAUUACAUUCAGAUAUUUUGGCAGAGACUUCUUCAAUCCUCUUGUACCUUUUUCUUAGAAAUAUUUUUGUAACAAGUGACAUCAAAAUUAAAGAAGAAAAUCUUUUCUGUGAUAAUAUUAAAGGCAAUGAGAUUUUCCCAUCUCAACAAAUUGCCAGACUGAUUGAAUGUGAGAGAGUAUUAGUGGCAUUGGAACUUAGCAACUUCCUAAAUGAUUCCAGCUAUGCCCUUCAAGCUGUGACUCAAUGUUAUGGACUUCUUGCUCCCAUAAUUUAUCACAAUAUUGUUUUGGUACCUGUUGUACAGAUCCUGAUAAAGUGUAUAGUGGUUUUGCAAGGACUACCAAGUAUUGUCUGCUCGAAGAAACAUACUGUGAGCUUUGAAAGUAUACAACACAUGAUAGCUUGUUGUAUUUUCUACAUAACAAAGAUUCUUCGUUCAUGGAGGGAAUAUGACCUGGCAGUAAUGAUUAUAAAUUAUGGGAAAAAAAUGUUGGACAUCACACCAGGAUGCAAGUCUCUGUUUGAUGGUAGUAAUGAACAAGAAGAAAUGCCAGAGGAGGAUUCUUCUAAGAAGUCUUUAAAGACCAAGAAGCCACAGCAGAUACUACUGCCUGAAAAGAUAAAUGAACAGCUGGCCUUGUUGGAGACACACCUACUCAAACUGACAAAGCAAUAUGUUACAUCUGAACUCUCAGGAGGAGAGGACCCUAUAUUUCUUUAUCCUGUAGUUUUGAAUUGGUCGGUCAAAGGUGCCGUGAAAGAAGUUAUGAAAUUUAAGCAAAAACCAAGAUUUCUGGAAUUCUUUACACAAGUUAUGCUAAAAUGCAUGAAUGAGGAAAAAUUUCACCUUAUGGUAGAGGUAACAACUCCUGUCCAUGACUUCUUGAAAAGGAGAAAUGAGUCUCUACUUGGACUAAUAAAAGUGAAAUAUAAGGACAGUGCUUUGAAUAAAAAAGCAAACAAAUCUUUAAAGUUCAAAGCUGCAGUAAUGGAAAUUGGAAGAAGUGCAGAAAUGCAACAAAGAAUAAGAAGUAAAAAAAAGGAAACUCUAAGAGAUUUCAUUUUUAAAAAUCCAGCUAUUUCUGAAAUGGUGGCACAUGAAAGAAAUAGGAGAACCAGUGUUAGGAAAGCAGCACA
RNAcentral lists this small RNA (2323 nucleotides) under Pan troglodytes (chimpanzee). Its description in RNAcentral is "processed transcript". The record is from RNAcentral. Lineage: Eukaryota; Metazoa; Chordata; Mammalia; Primates; Hominidae.